GUCGAGGGGCAGCGGGGAGGAAGCUUGCUUUCUCCGCCGGCGACCGGCGCACGGGUGAGUAACACGUAUGCAACCUGCCCCUGUCAGGGGGACAACCCGCCGAAAGGCGGGCUAAACCCGCGUACAUGCCACCGGGGCAUCCCGGAGGCAGGAAAGGCUUCGGCCGGACAGGGAUGGGCAUGCGGCGCAUUAGGCAGUAGGCGGGGUAACGGCCCACCUAACCGACGAUGCGUAGGGGUUCUGAGAGGAAGGUCCCCCACACUGGUACUGAGACACGGACCAGACUCCUACGGGAGGCAGCAGUGAGGAAUAUUGGUCAAUGGUCGGGAGACUGAACCAGCCAAGCCGCGUGAGGGAGGAAGGUACAGAGUAUCGUAAACCUCUUUUGUCAGGGAACAAAGGCGGGGACGUGUCCCCGGAUGAGUGUACCUGAAGAAAAAGCAUCGGCUAACUCCGUGCCAGCAGCCGCGGUAAUACGGAGGAUGCGAGCGUUAUCCGGAUUUAUUGGGUUUAAAGGGUGCGCAGGCGGUCUGUUAAGUCAGCGGUCAAAGCCCGGGGCUCAACCCCGGCCCGCCGUUGAAACUGGCAGUCUCGAGUUGGAGAGAAGUAUGCGGAAUGCGCGGUGUAGCGGUGAAAUGCAUGGAUAUCGCGCAGAACUCCGAUUGCGAAGGCAGCAUGCCGGCUCCACACUGACGCUGAGGCACGAAAGCGUGGGUAUCGAACAGGAUUAGAUACCCUGGUAGUCCACGCUGUAAACGAUGAAUACUAGGUGUAGGGGGUAUCGACUCCCU
RNAcentral lists this ribosomal RNA (791 nucleotides) under uncultured bacterium. RNAcentral's name for it is "bacterial SSU rRNA". It matches the Rfam family "Bacterial small subunit ribosomal RNA", at positions 61 to 842 of the family's 1533-position model. The record is from RNAcentral.